Molecule: ribosomal RNA, 252 nt
Filed under: uncultured bacterium
Lineage: Bacteria
Description: partial 16S ribosomal RNA
Rfam family: Bacterial small subunit ribosomal RNA
Source: RNAcentral
UACAGAGGGGGCAAGCGUUAUUCGGAAUUAUUGGGCGUAAAGGGCGCGUAGGCGGCUUUUCAAGUGGCGGGUGAAAUCCCUCGGCUUAACCGAGGAACUGCCUGCCAGACUGGAUGGCUUGAGACCGGGAGAGGUGAGUGGAAUUCCCAGUGUAGCGGUGAAAUGCGUAGAUAUUGGAGGAACACCAGUGGCGAAGGCGGCUCACUGGACCGGUACUGACGCUGAGGCGCGAAAGCGUGGGGAGCAAACAGG